RNAcentral lists this transfer RNA (76 nucleotides) under Draconibacterium sp. Its description in RNAcentral is "tRNA-Gln". It matches the Rfam family "tRNA". Rfam says of the family: Transfer RNA (tRNA) molecules are approximately 80 nucleotides in length. Their secondary structure includes four short double-helical elements and three loops (D, anti-codon, and T loops). The record is from RNAcentral. RNAcentral also lists the same sequence under 2 other names. Lineage: Bacteria; Pseudomonadati; Bacteroidota; Bacteroidia; Marinilabiliales; Prolixibacteraceae.
UGUCCCGUGGUGUAACUGGCAACACGUCUGAUUUUGGUUCAGAAGAGUCCAGGUUCGAGCCCUGGCGGGACAACCA